This 842-nucleotide ribosomal RNA is filed under the name Sporidesmiella sp. Its description in RNAcentral is "partial large subunit ribosomal RNA". It matches the Rfam family "Eukaryotic large subunit ribosomal RNA", at positions 76 to 948 of the family's 3401-position model. Lineage: Eukaryota; Fungi; Ascomycota; Sordariomycetes; Junewangiaceae. The record is from RNAcentral. RNAcentral also lists the same sequence under 1 other name.
UGCCCUAGUACGGCGAGUGAAGCGGCAACAGCUCAGAUUUGAAAUCUGGCCCUUCUGGGUCCGAGUUGUAAUCUGUAGAGGAUGCUUUUGGUGAGACGCCUUCUGAGUCCCCUGGAACGGGGCGCCAUAGAGGGUGAGAGCCCCGUACGGUUGGACGUCAAACCUCUGUAAAGCACCUUCGACGAGUCGAGUAGUUUGGGAAUGCUGCUCAAAGCGGGAGGUAAAUUUCUUCUAAAGCUAAAUAUUGGCCAGAGACCGAUAGCGCACAAGUAGAGUGAUCGAAAGAUGAAAAGCACUUUGAAAAGAGGGUUAAAAAGCACGUGAAAUUGUUGAAAGGGAAGCGUUUAUGACCAGACUUGUUACCUAUAGAUCAUCCAACGUUCUCGUUGGUGCACUCUAUGAGUUACAGGCCAGCAUCGGUUUUCUUUGGGGCAUAAAGGCUUUGGAAACGUAGCUCUUUCGGGAGUGUUAUAGUCCAUGGCAAAAUACCUUCAAGAGGACCGAGGACCGCGCAUUGCAAGGAUGCUGGCGUAAUGGUCAUCAGCGACCCGUCUUGAAACACGGACCAAGGAGUCAAGCAUUAGGGCGAGUGUUUGGGUGAAAAACCCGCACGCGAAAUGAAAGUGAACGCUGGUGAGAGCUUCGGCGCAUCAUCGACCGAUCCUGAAGUUUUCGGAUGGAUUUGAGUAAGAGCCUUAACGCUUGGACCCGAAAGAUGGUGAACUAUGCUUGUAUAGGGUGAAGCCAGAGGAAACUCUGGUGGAGGCUCGCAGCGGUUCUGACGUGCAAAUCGAUCGUCAAAUAUGAGCAUGGGGGGCGAAAGACUAAUCGAACCAUCUAGU